GACGAACGCUGGCGGCGUGCUUAACACAUGCAAGUCGAACGGAAAGGCCCUGCUUUUGUGGGGUGCUCGAGUGGCGAACGGGUGAGUAACACGUGAGUAACCUGCCCUUGUCUUUGGGAUAACUUCAGGAAACUGGGGCUAAUACCGGAUAGGAGCUCCUGCUGCAUGGUGGGGGUUGGAUAGUUUCGGCGGUUGGGGAUGGACGCGCGGCUUAUGAGCUUGUUGGUUGGGUAGUGGCUUACCCAGGCUUUGACGGGUAGCCGGCCUGAGAGGGUGACCGGCCACAUUGGGACUAAGAUACGGCCCAGACUCCUACGGGAGGCAGCAGUGGGGAAUAUUGCACAAUGGGAGGAAGCCUGAUGCGGCAACGCCGCGUGCGGGAUGACGGCCUUCGGGUUGUAAACCGCUGUCGCCUGUGACGAAGCGUGAGUGACGGUAAUGGGUAAAGAAGCACCGGCUAACUACGUG
Molecule: ribosomal RNA, 468 nt
Filed under: uncultured bacterium
Lineage: Bacteria
Description: partial 16S ribosomal RNA
Rfam family: Bacterial small subunit ribosomal RNA
Source: RNAcentral